CCCACAUCUCCACCACCCGCCGGGCCGGACUGGGCAGGGCCGCCGGCGCUCGCUCCCGCCCGGGCUUGGCCGGGGUCCAGGCUGGGCCACACGCCUCUCCUCCGGCCCUGCUCCCCGCGGUCCAGCUCACGCACGGCCUCAGCCCGCCCUUUUAGGUCCCUUCCCGCCUCCUUAGCUGUAGACCAGGGACAGAGAGAUGACAAAGGUUCACUUUCCUUACUCCUCUGUCAUCCUCUAACUACCUCCUCCUGCAAGCAUCGUCCCCCGCGCGCUGACCCCCUAAACUUUCACAUUCGUCCAGCACCAGUCUCCAACUUCGGGCUUGGAGUUCUCAGGUACCAGAACCCGAGAAAGGGACGGCGGUUAUGUUAUCUCUGGGAAGGCAUUGCAGCACGCCCAUCCACACGAAAACUCCGCAGCACCCCCAAAGCGGCGGGCUCCAUGUCCCCGAACUUCCUUGGCCUACCAUCGCCAUCGCCCCAUUUUCCGCGAUAGAAACACUGAGACCAGAGGGGGCGAAACGCUUUUCCGAUCUGAUGACAGCUUCCAUCUGUAGGGGCGACAGAGCCUGCGGCACCUUCCCCGGGGGACAUGUCUGAGAUGAUUUACCAGAUGCAUCAUCUGCACUUGGAUAUGCAAAAUCUACAUAUGUCCUCUUGUCAGCAGCUUCCGCCGAGGCAGCAUGCAGGAUUGGGACUUGCUUAUGGUCCAGACUCUAGAAGAUGAAUCAGCCGGGUUACAUGUUCUCCAUGCAAACAAAAGCAUAAAGUUGAGAGGGCUGGUUGGUUCCAGGAAAAGAACAGCCCUGUGCACUUCAAGCAUUCUGAUGAGAGAUUUUCUAAACUAAUAAACCAGUCUCUUUGAUUUAAAUCCCA
Long non-coding RNA from Peromyscus maniculatus bairdii (prairie deer mouse), 875 nucleotides. RefSeq lists it as uncharacterized. NCBI's taxonomy places the organism in Eukaryota, Metazoa, Chordata, Mammalia, Rodentia, Cricetidae. The record is from RefSeq and is a predicted model, not a curated record.